This 376-nucleotide ribosomal RNA is filed under the name uncultured organism. Its description in RNAcentral is "partial 16S ribosomal RNA". It matches the Rfam family "Bacterial small subunit ribosomal RNA", at positions 527 to 897 of the family's 1533-position model. The record is from RNAcentral.
GUAGGUGGCAAGCGUUGUCCGGGAAUUAUUGGGGCGUAAAGCGCGCGCAGGCGGUUCUUUAAGUCUGAUGUGAAAGCCCACGGGCUCAACCGUGGAGGGUCAUUGGAAACUGGAGAACUUGAGUACAGAAGAGGAAAGCGGAAUUCCACGUGUAGCGGUGAAAUGCGUAGAGAUGUGGAGGAACACCAGUGGCGAAGGCGGCUUUCUGGUCUGUAACUGACGCUGAGGCACGAAAGCGUGGGGAGCAAACAGGAUUAGAUACCCUGGUAGUCCACGCCGUAAACGAUGAGUGCUAAGUGUUAGGGGGUUUCCGCCCCUUAGUGCUGCAGCUAACGCAUUAAGCACUCCGCCUGGGGAGUACGGCCGCAAAGGCUGA